Molecule: long non-coding RNA, 2616 nt
Organism: Catharus ustulatus (Swainson's thrush)
Lineage: Eukaryota; Metazoa; Chordata; Aves; Passeriformes; Turdidae
Exons: 3
Source: RefSeq, a predicted model, not a curated record
GCAAGUAAUGAGUUCCAUUAGUUCACUAAUUGUUUGAACGUACUCCACAUAUUCUAAGUGAUAUUUUUAUUAUCUUAGAAUGGAGUGAUCGGAAAUAAUUUGUUGAGUUAUUUGCAUUAAAUGUCUGUCCCUGCUUCAAUGAGCUUUGCUGUCAUUGUGAAGAUAAGAAGAUGGGAAAUCUCUGAGGCUUUUGUGUUUUCAGACAAUGGGAACAGAUUAGGGACAAGGAAGAGAAAAUCAAGAUUAGGGGAUUUUAGAAAAAUAAACCUGUGUAUUGCUGUUGGUUUUCAUGUUAGAAAAAAUUGAUUUUUUUUAUUGUGGUACAUUUAUUUCUGUCAUGUUUAGAACCCAUGUAAUGGUCUAUUAUUCUCUUUAGGCACUCAGGUAAGGCAAAGACAACCUCUGCUGCCCUGGAAUGCAGCACAGGGCAAAGCAAAGAGCAGGUGAGAGAGUUUCAUGGGAAAGAUGGGAUGUCCAGCUCAAGCUUCUGCUCUGUGAGUGUUACUGUUUUCAUCCUACUUGAUAUGUCUCAGAGUAAGCUGUGUUUCAGACAAGUAGCCCUUGGCAGUAGGCUGGAGAAAGAUGAGAUUUUAGUGUGAUGUGCUGCACAGGCAUAGGGGGAAAGGAAAGAAUUUGUGUGAAAAAUUGAAAUGACAAGGUCAUGUUGAUAGCCUGGUUGUGGAGCUGCCACUGCAGUUUGUUGUGUUGUGAUUAGAGAUGGGCCAGCUACCAUGAAUGAGAUGAGAGCUGGUUUGAACCUUCAUGCACUACUCUAGCCAGAGUGAAGAGGAGCCCAUGGUGAGGCUAAAACACAUCUAACACUGGUGCAUUUGGUUUCUCAGCAUUAUUUAAUGAGCUUCUGCUUCUGAUAAUUUAGCUCAAAAUAGAAAACAGGAAUCUAGAAAAAUAUUCAGGACAUUAAUCCAGUCUAAAAUUAUUCAAUCUGGGAAACUUGAUUGUAUAAAACCAUAUAAAGACAAUUUCAUACCAUUCCCAAACUUCCGUCUGUAACAAAGAGCUCCAUAUCCUUGUUAAUAACCAUCCUGUUAAUAAAAUGAAAUAAAGUCUGCAAAGCUUUCAAAUUUCAACACAGGGUCUUUUUAAUUAUGGAGCCCUCAGAUGAGAUGCCAAGCUUCUGUCAAAGGGUGAGUGUGAGAGUAGACUGUGUAUGAGGACUUGCAGUGGGAACUGCACUGAGCUAAGUGCAGGAUCCCUCUGACAGCUGUUUCUCUUCUCUUUGGCUUUAUCCUGUGGGAAGUAGCUUUACAUUCAGAUUCAGACUACAAGGGAUUCUACGAAAGCUGAAUUUCUGCACUGGCCGUGCUCAUUCUGCAGUGUGUGUCACACUCCCUGUGGUGAGGGCUGAGUUCUCCCUAUUUUUUGCAGUCUCUGUCUAAUGCAGACAAAAUUCCUCCUUCCCACAAGAAUUCCAGGAGAAAGCAAAGGCAGAGAGCAAGGGCAAGUGGAGACAAGCACUGCAGUUUACCUUGGACUCCCUGUUUUGAAACACUUGCCAAGCUCACUGAGUUUAAAGACACAUGACUUCGAUGUUACUGAAGAUUGUGUCAUAAUCAUCAAAUGGAGCUGGUGCCAAAUAAACCAGAUGGAGCUUUCAAUCAACAAACCGCAUUUAUUUUUGAUAUCUGUGGCUUAUUUGUUAUCCAUGCACCUUUUAAUAGGAUAAGGAUUUCUAGGAUGUUAUCGCAUGGUUCUAGCAUGGAUACAUUCUGCAGGCACCAGUUUGCCACCAAAGAUACUAAUCACGGAAGAAAGUGGUAUAGAAACUCAUAUUGAUGUUUUGCCUUUCCAAAGGAAGUCAAUGACAGCAAAGCAUAUUUCAAGGUCUGGUUGCCAACAUACUCAAUUAAGCAGAAUUUGGAGGAGGAGAAGAAGGAGGAGGGGGAUGGCUGAAAACUCUCAGUCAUACUACAAAUGUCAGCUAUCUGCUGUCAGAGACCUGGUGACGUUGAACCAAACUGUGAAAUAUGUGUAAUUCUUCAAAUAUUGCUGAUGAUGUAGCACCAGAUUUUUAUUUUUUUCCAUGUGCAUGUGACUGCUUUUGACCAUGACAGGUUUUCAUAAAUCUGGUGUCAUUAUAGAACACAUGACUUGUGUCACCACUGCUACAACAAGAGAAAUCCAUCACAGAUCAAAGCGCCAGGAAAAGUCCUAUUCACUAUAUAAGCCCCACUUAAGCUUUCCAAAUACAGCUUGAGUGGAAUUUAAGGCCAUGUUUUCACUCCUAUACAGACAGGAAUUUUACAAUGUGAAAACAAAUUAAAAUAUAAGCCAUUUUCUAAUGUAAUAUAAAACUAUCUGAAGUCACAAUUCAUUUAGACCUAGAUAUCUUUGUCACUAUUUUACCUUGAAUGCCAUUUUUAAUUUUUGUAGAAUAUGAACCUAAACAAUAAAACUGUCCAGUAUUAUCUUAAUACUUUUAACAUUAGACCUUCAACCUACAUACUGGGUUAGAUCUCUCUGAACAGAGUUGUCCAUAACCUUCUCAGACAACAAACUCUUUGAGCAAGGAUCAUGCUCGUCUCCUUGUUUAUGUGGUGCUUAGAUUGUUGCAGGCUACAAAAAAAUUUUCUAUUGUAAGAAAUUUGUUGAACUCUG